GAUGAAGAACGCAGUGAAAUGCGAUAAGUAGUGUGAAUUGCAGAAUUCAGUGAAUCAUCGAAUCUUUGAACGCACAUUGCGCCCCUUGGUAUUCCAUGGGGCAUGCCUGUUCGAGCGUCAUUUGUACCUUCAAGCUCUGCUUGGUGUUGGGUGUUUGUCUCGCCUCUGCGCGUAGACUCGCCUCAAAACAAUUGGCAGCCGGCGUAUUGAUUUCGGAGCGCAGUACAUCUCGCGCUUUGCACUCAUAACGACGACGUCCAAAAGUACAUUUUUACACUCUUGACCUCGGAUCAGGUAGGGAUACCCGCUGAACUUAAGCAUAUCAAUAAGCGGAGGA
This 337-nucleotide unclassified non-coding RNA is filed under the name soil metagenome. RNAcentral's name for it is "partial contains 5.8S ribosomal RNA, internal transcribed spacer 2, and large subunit ribosomal RNA". The stretch from base 1 to 120 matches the Rfam family "5.8S ribosomal RNA", at positions 35 to 154 of the family's 154-position model. The record is from RNAcentral.